UCAUGGUUAGGGUCCAGCUCAGCGGCAAGCAAUUUCUCACUCCCCAAGUUAUCUAUUACCAGCGGCCGGUCUGGAGGUAAAAAUAGCCGCUGGGGCUGUUUGUUUAAUCUGACUGUUACUUGACACCACGCGGGUGUUGCGGUGGGGACUGUUUGCCUCUUCCCCACCAAGAACACCAUUUGGUUUCCCCCGGCUGGGUCUCUAUUUAGGUACGUUUCACAAACGUCCGGCGUCUGGACGACUUCUGGACACUGAUUUUCCCCAGGUGGGCAGGUCUGUGAGAACGGAGAGGUGUGGGUCUUGCCUCCCACCGCAGCUGAACUCUGGGCAGCCCGGAGAAGGAGGGAAGAAGUUUCGGCAGCCAGGCAGAGCCCGGCUGCUGGAGGCGUCAGGGUUCUCUCCGGUUCCCAGGGAGGCCUGCAGAGCCAGCAGCUGGGCCACGCGGAGAGCGGAAGAUGGGCAGUGAUGAUAGCAAAUAUAAACAUGAGAAGAAGUUUUUAAACUACGGACUCUAAAAUCCAGCAAGGCAGGCACCUGCAGCCCCCACUGCUGUAACAGUUUUAGUUACCAACGGUCAGCCGUGGUCCAGAAACCCAUGCUCCUCCCUCUGAUGUAUGGUCAGAAGUCAGUAGUAACCUAACGCUCCAUCGCUGUGCCCACGUCAUUCAUCCCACAUCCCACAUCAUCUCAUCACACAGACAUUCUAUCAUCUCACAUCAGCACAAGAAGG
Long non-coding RNA from Mustela lutreola (European mink), 730 nucleotides. RefSeq lists it as uncharacterized. The record is from RefSeq and is a predicted model, not a curated record. The transcript has 3 exons. NCBI's taxonomy places the organism in Eukaryota, Metazoa, Chordata, Mammalia, Carnivora, Mustelidae.